This 468-nucleotide ribosomal RNA is filed under the name uncultured bacterium. Its description in RNAcentral is "partial 16S ribosomal RNA". It matches the Rfam family "Bacterial small subunit ribosomal RNA", at positions 28 to 507 of the family's 1533-position model. The record is from RNAcentral.
GACGGACGCUGGCGGCGUGCUUAACACAUGCAAGUCGAACGGAAAGGCCCUGCUUUUGUGGGGUGCUCGAGUGGCGAACGGGUGAGUAACACGUGAGUAACCUGCCCUUGACUUUGGGAUAACUUCAGGAAACUGGGGCUAAUACCGGAUAGGAGCUCCUGCUGCAUGGUGGGGGUUGGAAAGUUUCGGCGGUUGGGGAUGGACUCGCGGCUUAUCAGCUUGUUGGUGGGGUAGUGGCUUACCAAGGCUUUGACGGGUAGCCGGCCUGAGAGGGUGACCGGCCACAUUGGGACUGAGAUACGGCCCAGACUCCUACGGGAGGCAGCAGUGGGGAAUAUUGCACAAUGGGCGGAAGCCUGAUGCAGCAACGCCGCGCGCGGGAUGACGGCCUUCGGGUUGUAAACCGCUUUCGCCUGUGACGAAGCGUGAGUGACGGUAAUGGGUAAAGAAGCACCGGCUAACUACGUG